Molecule: ribosomal RNA, 468 nt
Filed under: uncultured bacterium
Lineage: Bacteria
Description: partial 16S ribosomal RNA
Rfam family: Bacterial small subunit ribosomal RNA
Source: RNAcentral
GACGAACGCUGGCGGCGUGCUUAACACAUGCAAGUCGAACGGAAAGGCCCUGCUUUUGUGGGGUGCUCGAGUGGCGAACGGGUGAGUAACACGUGAGUAACCUGCCCUUGACUUUGGGAUAACUUCAGGAAACUGGGGCUAAUACCGGAUAGGAGCUCCUGCUGCAUGGUGGGGGUUGGAAAGUUUCGGCGGUUGGGGAUGGACUCGCGGCUUAUCAGCUUGUUGGUGGGGGAGUGGCUUACCAAGGCUUUGACGGGUAGCCGGCCUGGGAGGGUGGCCGGCCACAUUGGGCCUGAGAGACGGCCCAGACUCCUACGGGAGGCAGCAGUGGGGAAUAUUGCACAAUGGGCGGAAGCCUGAUGCAGCAACGCCGCGUGCGGGAUGACGGCCUUCGGGUUGUAAACCGCUUUCGCCUGUGACGAAGCGUGAGUGACGGUAAUGGGUAAAGAAGCACCGGCUAACUACGUG